AGCGAUGCUUCGUCGUGCGUACACCACUUCGGUGUGCACAGCCGGCGUGCUCGGCUCCGUCGUCGGCGCCCCUGCGGUGUCCUCCUCGUGCCUUGUUGCUGCGCACAUCGCGACGGGCCGUACAGGGCUGGUGAUGCACACCCCAAAGGCGGACAUUCAGAUGGGCCGCUUCAACUUUAUGGACCAAUACAACGAGUUCCGCAACCGUUCCGGUCGUGUGCCGGACUACUACGUAGAAAAGUACCGCAAGACGUACUGGCGCGUAGACGAGUACAUUCGCCGCUCCGAGAACUACAUCCAGUCACAGGGCUUCUUCUACCUACCCACGCUGGAGUUUCCGUGGUACAAGGGCUGCAUGCCGCUCAUGUCAUCAUACCAGAUUCGCGUGCACUACGGCCGCCACCAUCGCACCUACGUAGAGAAGCUUAACCAACUCAUCGAGGGCACGCCGCUCUACGGGAUGCAGCUCGACGCAUUGAUUGCGAAAAGCGCCAACGACUCUCAGCUGAAGGGCGUCUACAACAACGCUGCACAGCACUACAAUCACUCCUUCUUCUGGAAGUGUAUCCAGCCGUACGGCAGCAACAUCCCGCCAGACCUGUCCGCGGCGGUGUCUGCGCAGUACGGCUCCGUCGAGAAGUUCGAGAAGCAGUUUAUCACUGCAGCGCAGAACCUCUUUGGCAGCGGCUGGGUCUACUGGGUUUACGACAAGAAGGCUGGCGCCUUCGAUAUCGUCUCCUACGGCAACGCUGGCUGCCCGCUGACAAACUACGAGUACACACCGCUACUGUGCGUCGAUGUGUGGGAGCAUGCGUAUUACAUCGACUACGAGAACAAGCGCCCCGAGUACCUUUCCAAGUACUUUGAUGUAGUGGACUGGCACUGGGCUGAGCGCCACUGGAAGCGCGCCACUGACCAGGAGUAUCACGAGAUGAAGUUCUGGUAGGCGACCCCAUGAGUGCAGAGGGGAGAGGGGGCUGGCUCGCGGCGGGGACGAGUGCGCGCUUCCUUGCCAGCAACUCGCCCCCACCCCCUUCUCUCACCGCCCCUCCCCAACGACGCAUUUCAUUCUCGCCUUUCCACCGUCCCCUUCAUCUUGGCGCGUGCAUGGUGUGCGCGUCUCUCGGUGCUUGGUGCUGCAGGUAUCCAAGUUGGAUCAUUUACCUUUUCUUUUUCGUUUUUUUUUCUGUUGUGCUCUCGUGCAUGCGCUGUGCAUAUGUGCUUGCGUGCGCCGCCGUGCGUGCGGUGCCCGCUGCCUCCCGCCGCGUCUUGUGUGCUGCUCCACAGCUGCCCGUCUGCGCGUUGGUGUCUCUGUCGGCGUCUUUUUUUUUUGUGCGUGUGUUUCUUCGCUUCCCCGUUUUAUCGCUGAAUGCAUCAUCGCGGCCGCCACGAAGCUCAAG
Molecule: unclassified non-coding RNA, 1400 nt
Filed under: Leishmania donovani
Lineage: Eukaryota; Euglenozoa; Kinetoplastea; Trypanosomatida; Trypanosomatidae
Description: gene:LdHU3.32.3470(CDS-product:superoxide_dismuta se_putative)
Source: RNAcentral